CCUACGGGAGGCAGCAGUGAGGAAUAUUGGUCAAUGGACGAGAGUCUGAACCAGCCAAGUAGCGUGAAGGAUGACUGCCCUAUGGGUUGUAAACUUCUUUUAUAUGGGAAUAAAAUGUUCCACGUGUGGGAUUUUGUAUGUACCAUAUGAAUAAGGAUCGGCUACCUCCGUGCCAGCAGCCGCGGUAAUACGGAGGAUCCGAGCGUUAUCCGGAUUUAUUGGGUUUAAAGGGAGCGUAGGUGGAUUGUUAAGUCAGUUGUGAAAGUUUGCGGCUCAACCGUAAAAUUGCAGUUGAAACUGGCAGUCUUGAGUACAGUAGAGGUGGGCGGAAUGCGUGGUGUAGCGGUGAAAUGCUUAGAUAUCACGAAGAACUCCGAUUGCGAAGGCAGUUCACUGGACUGCAACUGACACUGAGGCUCGAAAGUGUGGGUAUCAAACAGGAUUAGAUACCCUAGUAGUC
RNAcentral lists this ribosomal RNA (460 nucleotides) under uncultured bacterium. RNAcentral describes it as "partial 16S ribosomal RNA". It matches the Rfam family "Bacterial small subunit ribosomal RNA", at positions 338 to 795 of the family's 1533-position model. The record is from RNAcentral.